RNAcentral lists this small RNA (260 nucleotides) under Metabacillus harenarius. Its description in RNAcentral is "Bacillus weihaiensis BsrG". It matches the Rfam family "BsrG". Rfam says of the family: bsrE, bsrG and bsrH pair through intermolecular interactions with antisense sRNAs. SR4 interaction with the 3'UTR of bsrG RNA promotes bsrG degradation and inhibits its translation. SR5 also overlaps bsrG from nucleotide 163 to 52 (Rfam overlap check). The record is from Rfam by way of RNAcentral. Lineage: Bacteria; Bacillati; Bacillota; Bacilli; Caryophanales; Bacillaceae.
UACAAUAGUUAGGAAACUCAAGGGUGGUCAGUGUUACCCCGAUACGAAAGGGGGUGAUGCUUAUGAUGACAGUAUUUCAAACGUUAAUGCUCAUGAUUGCAUUCUCAAGUUUGGUAUUGUCAAUCAUUUCUUUUAGAGACAAAAAAUAACCCACCCUUGAGCCUAGCAGCGUAAUAGGGUGAGUUAUUAUUUACCAACAUGCUGAUCCCCUUGGUGGGAACCUAGCUAUUGUAUGACUGUUUGGUGUUCUAGCACCAAGC